RNAcentral lists this ribosomal RNA (253 nucleotides) under uncultured bacterium. RNAcentral describes it as "partial 16S ribosomal RNA". It matches the Rfam family "Bacterial small subunit ribosomal RNA", at positions 524 to 776 of the family's 1533-position model. The record is from RNAcentral.
UACGGAGGGUGCAAGCGUUAAUCGGAAUUACUGGGCGUAAAGCGAGUGUAGGCGGUCGUGUAAGUCGGAUGUGAAAGCCCUGGGCUCAACCUGGGAAUGGCAUUCGAUACUGCACGGCUAGAAUCUGAUAGAGGGAAGUGGAAUUCCGGGUGUAGCGGUGAAAUGCGUAGAUAUCCGGAGGAACAUCAGUGGCGAAGGCGGCUUCCUGGAUCAAGAUUGACGCUGAGGCUCGAAAGCGUGGGUAGCAAACAGG